GGUGGCUCAGUGGUAGAGAGCUUGCCUUGCAUGCAAGAGGCCCUGGGUUCCAUUCCUCAGCACCA
Molecule: transfer RNA, 65 nt
Filed under: Dipodomys ordii (Ord's kangaroo rat)
Lineage: Eukaryota; Metazoa; Chordata; Mammalia; Rodentia; Heteromyidae
Rfam family: tRNA
About the family: Transfer RNA (tRNA) molecules are approximately 80 nucleotides in length. Their secondary structure includes four short double-helical elements and three loops (D, anti-codon, and T loops). Further hydrogen bonds mediate the characteristic L-shaped molecular structure. tRNAs have two regions of fundamental functional importance: the anti-codon, which is responsible for specific mRNA codon recognition, and the 3' end, to which the tRNAs corresponding amino acid is attached (by aminoacyl-tRNA synthetases). tRNAs cope with the degeneracy of the genetic code in two manners: having more than one tRNA (with a specific anti-codon) for a particular amino acid; and 'wobble' base-pairing, i.e. permitting non-standard base-pairing at the 3rd anti-codon position.
Source: Rfam by way of RNAcentral